Dama dama (fallow deer) is the source of this 399-nucleotide non-coding RNA. The record is from the annotation of a RefSeq genome assembly. Lineage: Eukaryota; Metazoa; Chordata; Mammalia; Artiodactyla; Cervidae.
AUGGAGAACAUGCUGGAAUGUGCAUUCAUAGCCUUGUGGCUUCAGGUUGGAUGGCUGCAUGGAGAAGACCGAGUGGAGCAGAGUCCUCAGACCCUGAGAACCCAGGAGGGGGGCAGUCUCAGCCUCAACUGCAGCCACACCGUCAGCAGCUUCAUAGGGCUACAGUGGUAUAGACAAGACCCUGGGAAGGGCCCUGAACUCCUCUUCCUUCUUUACUUAGCUGGGGAUGAAAAGCAGAAAGAAAGACUGAGAGCCACCUUGUUAAAGAAGGGAAGUUCUCUGCACAUCGAAGCCCCCAAACCCGAAGACUCAGCCACUUACCUCUGCGCUGUGCAGACACAGUGCUCCCCAGGCACCUGCAGACUGUACCCAAGCCCUGAGGCUGCGGCUCUAGAAUAA